CCUACGGGGGGCAGCAGUGAGGAAUAUUGGUCAAUGGCCGGAAGGCUGAACCAGCCAAGCCGCGUGAAGGACGAAGGUGCCAAGCAUUGUAAACUUCUUUUGUCAAGGGACAAAAUCAGGCUCGAGAGCCUGACCGAGGGUACUUGAAGAAAAAGCAUCGGCUAACUCCGUGCCAGCAGCCGCGGUAAUACGGAGGAUGCGAGCGUUAUCCGGAUUUAUUGGGUUUAAAGGGUGCGGAGGGGGACGGGUAAGGUAGCGGGAAAAGGCCGGGGCUCAACCCCGGCAGGCCGUUGAAUGUGGCUGUCUUGAGAGGACGAGAGGUAUGCGGAAUGCGCAGUGUAGCGGUGAAAUGCUUAGAUAUUGCGCAGAACUCCGAUUGCGAAGGCAGCAUACCGGCGGCGAUCUGACGCUGAGGCACGAAAGCGUGGGUAUCGAACAGGAUUAGAUACCCGUGUAGUC
RNAcentral lists this ribosomal RNA (459 nucleotides) under uncultured bacterium. RNAcentral's name for it is "partial 16S ribosomal RNA". It matches the Rfam family "Bacterial small subunit ribosomal RNA", at positions 338 to 795 of the family's 1533-position model. The record is from RNAcentral.